GUAGGUGGCAAGCGUUGUCCGGAAUUAUUGGGGCGUAAAGCGCGCGCAGGCGGUUCUUUAAGUCUGAUGUGAAAGCCCACGGGCUCAACCGUGGAGGGUCAUUGGAAACUGGAGAACUUGAGUACAGAAGAGGAAAGCGGAAUUCCACGUGUAGCGGUGAAGUGCGUAGAGAUGUGGAGGAACACCAGUGGCGAAGGCGGCUUUCUGGUCUGUAACUGACGCUGAGGCGCGAAAGCGUGGGGAGCAAACAGGAUUAGAUACCCUGGUAGUCCACGCCGUAAACGAUGAGUGCUAAGUGUUAGGGGGUUUCCGCCCCUUAGUGCUGCAGCUAACGCAUUAAGCACUCCGCCUGGGGAGUACGGCCGCAAAGGCUG
RNAcentral lists this ribosomal RNA (374 nucleotides) under uncultured organism. Its description in RNAcentral is "partial 16S ribosomal RNA". It matches the Rfam family "Bacterial small subunit ribosomal RNA", at positions 527 to 896 of the family's 1533-position model. The record is from RNAcentral.